UGGGGAAUUUUGGACAAUGGGCGCAAGCCUGAUCCAGCCAUGCCGCGUGUGGGAAGAAGGCCUUCGGGUUGUAAACCGCUUUUGUCAGGGAAGAAAUCUUCUGAGUUAAUACCUCGGGAGGAUGACGGUACCUGAAGAAUAAGCACCGGCUAACUACGUGCCAGCAGCCGCGGUAAUACGUAGGGUGCAAGCGUUAAUCGGAAUUACUGGGCGUAAAGCGUGCGCAGGCGGUUUUGUAAGACAGAGGUGAAAUCCCCGGGCUCAACCUGGGAACUGCCUUUGUGACUGCAAGGCUUGAGUGCGGCAGAGGGGGGAUGGAAUUCCGCGUGUAGCAGUGAAAUGCGUAGAUAUGCGGAGGAACACCGAUGGCGAAGGCAAUCCCCCUGGGCCUGCACUGACGCUCAUGCACGAAAGCGUGGGGAGCAAACAGGAUUAGAUACCCUGGUAGUCCACGCCCUAAGCGAUGUCAACUGGUUGUUGGGAAGGUUCCUUCUCAGUAACGU
RNAcentral lists this ribosomal RNA (503 nucleotides) under uncultured bacterium. RNAcentral's name for it is "partial 16S ribosomal RNA". It matches the Rfam family "Bacterial small subunit ribosomal RNA", at positions 355 to 849 of the family's 1533-position model. The record is from RNAcentral.